GGAGGGAGGCGGAGAGAGCAGUCCGACAGAAGAUGGCCGCUGCUGGAGUGGCAGUGGGGCGGCGGCGAGCGAUGGCGGCGCUGCCCCGGGGCCCGCGGGUACUGCUGGAGGAGCAACAGCAGGGCGCUGCGGGAGCCCCGGUGUGCCGGACCUGAGGUGGCCGGUGAACGCUGCAGUAAGCCCGGCCCGCGUGGUUAUGUUUCACACUAUGUGCUGAUUGUCUGUACUUACAGAAGAUAUUUAAAACCCAACAGACUUUUUUGCAAAAUUUUGAUUCCAGUGGAAUCUGUGCUUUAGAUUUUUGUCUUGUCAAUUAACUCCUGAAGCAAUGCCUGUACAAGCUCCACAAUGGACGGAUUUUCUCUCCUGCCCGAUUUGCACACAGACUUUCGACGAAACGAUUCGGAAGCCCAUCAGCUUGGGUUGUGGCCACACUGUCUGCAAGAUGUGUCUCAACAAGCUCCACCGUAAGGCUUGUCCCUUUGACCAGACCACUAUCAACACRGACAUUGAACUCCUUCCUGUGAACUCAGCCUUGUUGCAACUCGUGGGUGCUCAGGUUCCUGAGCAGCAGCCGAUUACUUUAUGCAGUGGAGCUGAAGAUACCAAGCAUUAUGAGGAGGGCAAGAAGUGCGUGGAAGAGUUGGCAUUGUACCUUAAACCACUCAGCAGUGCGAGAGGUGUGGGUCUUAACAGUACUACUCAGAGUGUGCUGAGUCGUCCCAUGCAGAGGAAACUUGUGACAUUAGUCCAUUGCCAGCUGGUGGAGGAGGAAGGACGGAUCAGAGCCAUGCGUGCAGCACGGUCCCUGGGUGAAAGAACAGUCACAGAACUCAUUCUCCAGCAUCAAAACCCUCAGCAGCUCUCUUCCAACCUCUGGGCUGCAGUGAGAGCCAGAGGGUGCCAGUUCCUUGGGCCAGCWAUGCAAGAGGAAGCUUUAAAGUUGGUUCUGCUGGCUUUGGAAGAUGGAUCUGCUCUGUCACGAAAGGUCUUGGUUCUCUUUGUGGUGCAGAGGCUGGAGCCACGAUUCCCUCAGGCUUCUAAAACUAGCAUUGGGCAUGUUGUCCAGCUCCUUUACAGAGCUUCGUGCUUCAAGGUGACCAAGCGAGAUGAGGAUUCCUCUCUCAUGCAACUGAAGGARGAAUUUCGGACUUACGAAGCUCUGAGAAGGGAACAUGAUUCCCAGAUAGUCCAAAUAGCUAUGGAAGCAGGUUUGCGUAUUGCACCAGACCAGUGGUCCUCACUGUUAUACGGAGAYCAGUCUCACAAAUCCCACAUGCAGAGUAUCAUCGACAAGUUGCAGACCCCAGCCUCGUUUGCGCAAAGUGUUCAGGAACUAACUAUUGCUCUUCAGAGGACUGGAGAUCCAGCUAACCUGAAUCGUCUUCGACCUCACCUAGAGCUCCUGGCAAAUAUUGAUCCCAGUCCAGAUGCUCCACCUCCAACAUGGGAACAACUGGAAAAUGGACUAGUUGCUGUGAGGACUGUGGUUCAUGGCUUAGUUGAUUAUAUCCAGAAUCACAGCAAAAAAGGAACAGAUCAGCAACAGCCCCCUCAGCACAGCAAGUACAAGACGUACAUGUGUCGAGACAUGAAGCAGAGAGGAGGAUGUCCCCGGGGAGCCAGCUGCACCUUUGCACACUCACAGGAGGAGCUGGAAAAAUUCCGUAAAAUGAACAAGCGUCUUGUUCCCAGAAGACCCCUUAGUGCCUCCCUGGGCCAGCUGAAUGAGGUGGGCCUGCCUUCAGGAGCUAUCCUCUCAGAGGAAGGGGGAGUGGACUUGCCCAAUAGGAAAACUUCUGCUCUGCCAAAUGGAAUUGUGUCAACAGGCAGCACGGUGACGCAACUAAUUUCUCGAGGGACUGACUCCGGUUAUGAAACUACCCUGAAGCCAGGGAAGAUGGACCAUCUGAGUAGCAGUGCCCCUGGAUCCCCUCCUGACUUGCUGGAAUCUGUCCCCAAGAGCUCUAUUUCUGCCUUGCCAGUGAACCCCCAUCCUGUGCCUGCUAGGGUGCCAGCAGAUCUGCCCACAGUGUCUGUCACCAAGCAGUUGCAGAUGGUACCACGAGGGUCUCAGUUGUACAAUGCACAACAAGCAGAUAUGUUUUAUCAAGACCCCAGAGGAGCUGCCCCAUCAUUUGAGCCAGCACCCUACCAACAAGGAGUGUACUAUCCCACUCAGUCCAUGUCUCGCUUUGUCCGACCUCCUCCGUCGGCGCCCGAGGCGGGUGCACCGUACCUGGAGCACUAUGGGCCAUACCUGCCGGAGCGCGUGGUGAGCCCACAGUACCCGCAGCCACAGGGGUACCCGGCCCUGGCGCAGCCUGUGUAUCCCCCGCACUAUGACAGCCGCCGCGUGUACCCUCCCGUGCAGCCCUACCAGCGGGAGGACGUGGUGCGGGGCAGCCCGGUGCCCAUCGACAUCCCRCAGGCAGCUGUGCCUCUCUACGUCCCUGAGUCCAGAGACAGAUACCAGCAAACAGAGGCUUAUUGCACCGUGGCUCCGCAUCUCAGUCAGAUCAGACCUUCGUGCCACAGGCCUCAUCCCAGCCUGGAUGAACUUCACCGACGAAGGAAAGAGAUCAUGGCCCAACUAGAGGAGAGGAAGGUGAUUUCUCCACCUCCUUUUGCACCAUCACCAACCUUGCCUCAUCCUUUUCACUCAGAGGAGAUUUUUGUUUUUGUACAGUACUUGGAUGAAGAUCUGAAAGUAGCUGGGAAAUACAAAGGAAAUGACUACAGCCAGUACUCUCCCUGGUCCUGUGACACCAUCGGCUCCUACAUUGGAACCAAAGAUGCAAAACCCAAAGAUGUUGUGGCAGCAAGAAGUGUGGAGAUGGCGAAUGUGGACAGUAAGGCCAUGUGUGAGCAGCGACUGGACAUGCAGCGACGAGCAGCUGAGACGGGAGACGAUGACCUCAUUCCAUUUGGAGACCGACCAACUGUGUCAAGAUUUGGGGCCAUCUCUCGUACUUCCAAAGCCAUGUACCAGAACUCCGGGCCUAUGCAGGCCAUGGCGGUUCAGGGAGCUGCCACCAAAUCCAUCAUUACAGACUACAGUCCUUAUGGAACCCAUGGUGGCUGGGGAGGCUCUCCAUAUUCUCAUCAAAAUAUACCUUCUCAGGGACGUUUCAAUGACAGGGAGAGACUGUCCAUGUCGGAUGUGGCUGGUCAUGGGAAGCAGUUGCCCUCAGCUGAACGAGAGCAGCAGCUGCGCAUGGAGCUGCAGCAAGUUGACCAUCAGAUCAGCCAGCAGACACAAAUGCGGGGACUGGAGGCUGUUAGUAACAGGCUGCUGUUGCAGAGGGAGGCGACUACCCUGGCAGGCCAACCACAGCCCCAACCCCCRCCUCCCAAGUGGCCUGGGAUGAUCUCAAGUGAGCAGCUGAGCUUGGAGCUACACCAGGUGGAAAGGGAAAUUGGGAAGAGAACCCGUGAGCUGAGCAUGGAGAGUCAGUCUUCACUGGAUAUGAAAAACAAACUGGGCACCACUAAACAGACAGAGAAUGGACAAUUAGAACCACAAAACAAGGUUCCAGCAGAGGACCUCGCACUGACAUUCGGCAGUGAUGUUCCGAAUGGAUCAGCUUUGACCCAGGAGAACAUUGGGCUCCUGUCAAACAAUAUGGCAUCUCUCAGCCUGUCAGAGGACCCCGAGGGAGGAGGAGAUGGCCAUGACUCCCAGCAAGCGGGAGUGACACACACAUCUGCUCCAUGAAGCGAGGCCAGCACACCCUGGAGUUCCUUCUGCUGGGGUGUCAGCAGCUUCCAUUGUGGUUUUUUCCCAGGGGUGACGGGAGAAACCCAGGAGCAGCAGCAGUUGCAGAGCAGCAGGUCCAGAGGCAAUGUGCACAAACACAACUACUAGAAACAAAUCCUGCACAUAGUUCACAUUAACGCAUUUUUUAAUUAAAAAAUGAAAAUUAGCAGUAUCUGCAAGCAAUUCAAAUUAAAUUUGUUUUUGUUCUGUGAAUGAACUUUAUUUUAAUAACUUUGGACGCCUUGAAUCCCAGGGCUUAAAAAAAAAAGAUAUUAUAUAUAUACUCUUGUUUGAUUAAUUGUAUGAUCUUAAUGAAAUAGGUUUUUUCUUUUAUUUUGGUAUUAUUACAUACCCAGUGCAUAAUUCCCUAUCACCUUAAUUUUUCAAUUACUAAAGCAAUCUGGCCCCUUACUUGUAUGGUUUAAGGGUAAACAAGGAAUGAUGAUUGGAGAGUAGCUGUGAAUUGCAGUAUCAAAAGAUGUGCAGCAAAUUUCAUACUUAACGCAUUUCCUCCCAUUAUGGCCAGGAACUGAACCCAAGCUUUUUGCUUAAAUUACUGAAUUUAAACUAUGAAUGACAAAAUCUUUGCAAAGGUGURGUCCUUUUUAAAGGCUGGCAUUGUUUAARGUCUGUGUAUGUCAGAAUUUGACAYCGGUUUGUCAGUGCUGCAGUGAUGAAUCCAGCCUGGUUUCCUAUUUCAUGGGGGAAGAAUUGUACCCAGAUGAUCACUGAAGGUGCGGUACAGAUCCUGCCAGAAGUACUGUGAAGCAAAUUUUGCUUGACAGAUCUAAUACAUCGCUAAGUAGAUACUUCGUAGGCAUAAGUCAGAGAAGAUGUAAGUCCCUUUUGCUUAUUUUUUUUAAWGAUUUCAUUCUUGCUGCACAUUUUUUGACUUUUUUGACAUGCACUAGGAUAAGAUCCUGGAUAUAAAGACCUCUUGAGAAUGAUUUUUCWAGUGCUGCUCCCUCUCUACUUUCUUGGCCUGUUCUCAUUUUUUCUUUCUGGGUUGGACUACUAAAUGGGAAGGCACUGGUUAUGUAAUAAAUUACUGCAUUGCUUUGGUUGGGUAAAGCAAGAGUUAAUAAAUUUUCUUGGGUUUUAGUUUUUUUCCUUAAUCUUAACUCCUGCUGAGGUCAUAGCAACCUUGGGCUAAGCUUUGCAUUCAUCAUAUUGUUUAAUAAAACAAAAGGGGGGGGAGGGGAUACAGUCCCACUAUUGCCUACCAGUAGGAGAGUCCAAACAGAAGACUCUUUUGAGUAGCAAUUAUUUAAUUUGCCCAGUCAAGGCACCGCGUUUAUAUACUAUUUCACAUUGAAUUUGAUUAUGCCCUACAGACCUGGCUGGUCAAGGAUUUGAUACACAUAUUGGCUUGGGAUUCGAGCUUUCUUUUUUAUUUAAAUAAAAAUUUAUAUAUAAAUAUAUAUAUACAUAUAUACAUGGUUAUAUCUGUAUAUAUAUUGGGUAUGUUUUAAGAAUUUUUUCGCAUGAGCGCAGCUGUUGUGAUCAAAUGUCUGGGAGGUAGAMGCACUGAAUGAAAUUAGUGGCAUUUUUCAGCACACCCCACACACACUUUCCAUGUCUUCACAUGGGUUUAUUUCACCCUUAGUUGAACUUUGGCUUCCUAAUUGCCAAGAGUAGUUCAAAGCUUGCUUUUUUUCUCUCCCCUCUUUUAACUUUUGGUAAAGAAUCUUUGCACUGAAACAGCUUCAUCUCCCCUUGCCCCAUCCAUCUGUAUCUCCUACUUGAGGCCAAGCAUUCCAGCCACUCCCCUUGGAGCUGAGCAGACCUGGGGUGAUGUAGCUGAGAGCCCAUCUGGUCUGUUCCUCUCUUCUCUGCUUUUAGCAUGAGGAGGUUGAAGAUUUUUCCUGGCUGCUUGCUCCCAAGUCACCUGACACAGGCCCCAGGCMCUCUCCUCUCAUCCUUCGGUGCAGGGCACCACCCUCAGGUCAGCCUUUUCCUUGAUUUUAAUUAGUUUGCUCCUUCCUCCUGUGUCUUUGUUAUAAACACAAGGAACUCAUCUUAGUCAAGAUAAUUAGUGCAAUAUUCUAGUCUAGGAGGACAAGCGCAGAAUGUUCCUUUUUUUUGACUGCAGUAAUUGUGCAUGUAAAAUUAAUUUUCAAAGACGGUUAUGAUAGGUUGGACCCCGCAGAUUCAUUUGUAAUACUAGGACAAAAGUCUGGAGGGGUAAAGACCUCUUUGCCUUUUUAUUUCCUAGUUCCCUUGCCAGGUUAGGGAUUAUUCUUUUCUCUGAAUUUUCUCCCUGAAUUCUUCAGAAAGUGCUAUUCCGAUUGUUGGCCUAUGUAUGAUGAACGCUUCAAAAAUCUUUGGAUUAGAAGGGAGACCUUACUGUUGGGUUUUUUUUCUCCUUGCAGCUUUCCGUGCUGUACUUCGUGCAUAAUGUCCUUGUUGUGAUCAAUGUGUCCAGGUGAAUGCCCUGUUUGCCCAGAAUUGUAGUUUGUCUUGUUAAAUAUUUUGUUUAAUAUCUACUAACAGUAUUGAUUUUUGACUUUGUUUCAUCCCUGCCUCUUCUAACCCUUUUUCUGCUUUUUUUGCAGAAGUUUAGUUAAACAAGUYGAACAGCAAAAUCCAGUGCAUGCUCCUAAGUUUUUCUGGAAACUGCACCUAAAAUGUUCCAGUUUUGUGGAAAAAGUGGGACACCUCAGAGGACAGAUAGCUGUACAUGUAGUGGCAGUAUUGGUGGUUGCAGUUAACAAGUGUGAAAAUGUCUGGAGGGACUCUGUUCUUGCUACRCUCAUUCAUUCAUUGUCCCAGUUGUACAGGAGUUCUGGCCACCUCAGUGAAAUUGGUCUCUGCUACAAACUGGUUUGGUUCCUUCUACUAGGCAAGAAGAAGCAGUAUUACCAUGGUGUCAGGGCUUUGCUGCAUCCUUUGGUAGGUUAAAUUUUCUACUGCACCAGAGAGCUCUGAACCCUCAUUGAUAUCUGGGUUUCAGCCAGAUGGACAGCAUGGAYAAACCUUCAGAAUAGGAAGCUUCAAGUGGUAGGUUAAGCUUCAGUUUGUCAGUAUAUAGAUGAUGUCUUUGUUCUGUGAUGUUAUUUCCCUCCUGUCAACAUCUCAUAUUUCUGUCCUAUGACUUAGUUCUUUUUUCUUAGUAGGAGAAGUUUAAACAUCUGCCCCUCUUAUAUGCUCCAUUGCAGAGUAGGACUUUCUUUCUGUGGGUCAGAGCACCUUUCAAGGUAGCAGCACUUUUAUUCUUCUCAAGUUCUUCUCUGUGUAGUUUCUUCUGAGCCUUCUCUCCCUUUUUGCGUCCUUUCCUUCUGUGGCCUGCCCAUGCCACCCUCCCUGAUUGUGUAACGGUGACAGCUUGCUGCCUCAAAACAGAGCGUUCAAAUGAAUUCGCUUAGCCAAUAACUUCUGUGAAGUUGCCUUUUCUAAUGGUGUUAUUACUCAGUGAUGCACAAAUGUGAUAUUGCCCCUACUGGUAGGCAAACGGGGGAUCUGUAUAAACAUGGUAAACUGCUGUUUUUCUUUAAAGGAGAGCCAAAGACUUGUGUUUUACACUUUCUUUUCCCCUGAUGUAGCCAUUUUGAUUGUCAGACAUUUGCAUAGGGUAUUGUGAGUUGACUGUAUUAUCCUAAUAAGAAUUUCCAGAAGUUAAUGAUUGUCAAGUGUUGCUCAUGCAUUGCAUUGGGGAAAAUCAUUCCAUUGAGUCGUACAAUUUGCARUGUACUGAGAUGUAUCUGAGGUGUUGUGAUGUGUUUUCAUUUUGUCAUACACUCUCUCAGCUGAUGGAAUGGCUUAUUUAGAGAGAGAGAAAGAACACAGAAAUGUUACCAUCCAAGAAGCCUUGUCUUUAAGUGUUUAAAUCUAAAUUGAAUACUGAUUGAAAAUUUCUUCAGUUACAUAAAUAGAUAAAUCUGUAUUACAAAUGUGACUGACUUUUAAGCCCACUGGGACCGAAAAGAUAUGUGAAAUGCUAGCAUUGCAUUAAAUUAGAUGUGGAAGAACCAAACUUGUAUGAUGAUAUUGUCUCUUGACAGCAYGGACUGAGUAAGGUGGGGCAAAUUUUGUAUUAGGGUCAGGAGUGAGGCAUGUAUUGAUAAUACAAGAAAGCUGCUUGCAUUUCCCUUCCUUGAGCUAGUCAAACUCUCUCAGACUUGUUAGUCAAGUUUUUAGGUCAGAGAGAAAUCUCUUUAAGGCCGAGUAGCUUAAGUCCUCAUUUCCAUUGCCAUUUAUAAUUUUGGAUUAUAACAAAGCAGACUUACAGGACAGUCAUCUGAAAGACCCCCAGUAUAAAGAUUCUUAGCUGGACUGGCUCUUUCAGACCUACUCUUACGGUCCAAGAAAUGCCAUGCCAGUGUUCAGGAGGCUCAACAACAGGAGUGCCAGUCACCUCUGCUCUGAAAUGGGAGCGACCCAAACAUAUGAACAGGGUGCAAGUUUUUGUGCUUGUCUGUGUAUGUAUGAAGAAGUGUUUGUGGUCCUAGGAUAGAUACAAGGAACACAGAGCAAUGGUGCUGGGGCAUAAUGUUGCCUUCACAUGCAAAUUUUGUUAUCAUUCACUCUCCAAAACACAGCCUUCCAUUCCUGUCUCCUAAUGUUGCUGAUUUCAAAGCAACCCAAAAAAGUCAGUGUGUCAGCAACUUAAUUUCUUGUAUCACAAUAAAUCAAUUCCCAGGCUGGGAGGUGGAAAGGGAGCAAGARUUCUUGAGUUGUCUUCAUGGUAAUGGAGUUGUGAAGUGGAAAAACAUCUGCCUUGCUUAAGUAAGUGAAACUGGAUUUCUGAGGAAAGCGAAGCAGCUGUUCUAAACUACCUUUUGUAUACAGCCAUGGUGCCAAGAGCUCGGUGCUUGUUACUUGUGGUAAAUCAACCUGCAGAUCAUUAUGUAGCACAAAUUGAUUUGCUCUCAGAUCUAAUUGAAUCUUAAAAUGUGAAAAACUUCAUUGGGGAGUCUCAUUUCCAUAGUGGGCUCUUACCAACUGUAUUAUUUUCUGUUGGAAUGUCAGGGAGUGACAGAAACUAGAGUAAGUCAAUUCUAGUUAUACAACAUAAGAAAAGGUUUUGGACACAGCAGAGUGUCUUUCUAUUGUUAACAUGUGAUCUUUAUUCUUCUGUAGGAAAAAAAUAAUAUAACUGCUUUGAGUUGUCGCAGUCUUCGGGGCGCUUCUUGUAAUGCAGGUAGAGCCUUGGUUAGCAGAGAAGUGAUAUAAAACUUAAUGUUUAUUUUCUUUAUAAUUUUAUUUCUAAUGGCAAGUGAAAUAUCGUGCUGUGGGAAGUGCAGUAAGUAAAGAGGCUGCAGCUUUUUUGAGAUUUUCCAAUAAAAAAAGCACAUGGCAGUGCGGAUUUGUCUGCAUCAGGAACAUUACAGUGAUUUGAUACUUGAAAAAUUUGGCCAUAAUAAUCUAAAUUGGAUCCCUGGAGCUUAUUAACAUGAAUAAUUAACUGAUCACUCCCAGGCAGUCUUAGUAAUUUCAGUGAGUUUGCAUAUGACUUUCAGUGCCAAUUGCUAGGUGUUCAGCAGUUGGGAAAGUUUAGGUGCCUAACUUSAUCCAGCAAGGCACCUUUCUUUGGAUAUAUGGUUUGGAUGUUUUCAUAUGCUAGGAAACAACUGUUUUGAAGAUCYGAAAGUUUUAGGAAAACACAAUUGUCCACUUCAAUUUUAAAAGUACAGUCUUGGGAGAGACAGAAGCAACAGGUAGUGCAGUGUCUGGAAAUAAAAAGCAUUAGACAUGAUGGAAAUAGGUGGGAAAUGUGUAUGGGCUAAACAUCUGUAAGCUGAAAAAAAAUACUGUGGAGUAUUUGAUGUGUAAGAAAUUAUUUGUUUCUUUGUAAUGUUAAAAAGAUUUUAUUAAUAGUUCUGUGGCAGACAGUACUCACAAGUCUUUGGCAUCCAAACCAGAUAGUAUAUCAGAUGGAUCCCACAACUGGAUGUGUGCACUGACCUCUUUAUUUGUAGCUUUUUAAAAGAAAUUUGGCAGWAGCCUUUUAUAAAUGCAGAAAGCAACCUGAGAGAAAGAAGAAGCCCAUUCACAUCACAGCUGCUGCAUAGCUCACAAUUGGUACUGUUCAUCUGCAGCAUCUCAUAAGUGGAGCUGCUCAGCAUGGGCAAAUCUAAUGACUUGGAUUUUUUCCUAUUUUAAUUUUAAAGAGUUCCYAUUCCCCCUUUAGCCUCUGCUUGCUGUGUGAACGGCUUCCAUGCUAAAAGGAUCUUUCCUUGAAGUCAGCUUAGCAACUGUGCUGUAGCUUGGCUAUUUUUCCAUAUUUUCAGUAACUGGUUGCAUUAUGUUAAGCUCUUCCCCRCCUUGUAUUUGUUGCUGUGGGGAGGAAGAGGUAAAGCAAGGCACAUGUGAGAGGAGGGAGAAAGAACUGUGGGAUCUAUAUGACAGCUCCYACCUCUUCUUUGAAAUCAUCUACUUCCAGUUGUGGGAUUUCUCGAUAUAUGAUUCCUUUUCCUGGUUUUUGUAAGCCUAAUUUUUCUUUGAUCUUAUUAGUUCUGUACAAGUCUCCCCGAGACAUUCUGCAGUCAUUAUCACCUUUUUGGGUGGAGUUAUUUUAUUUUUUGGUUUGUUUGGUUUUUUAAAUAACUUUUUAACAUUGGUGCAUAUAUGCUUGGGAUAGAGCUCAUGUAAUUUUCCAAUCGUAUUGAUUGUAUGUGAUUGUGCCCUGCAGAGGUAUGUUUAACAAAAAAUAAAAGGGUAGUCUAGGUAAUAAAGGAGACCAUGAGGUUUGUUGAGUCAGGUCAUAAACUAUUUCUUAAAUUUAUUUAGGAUCCUAGAUAAGUGAAAUUCCAUCUGCURUUCUUGUGAAUCAAUGCUAAACAAAAUGUCAUUCAUUCUGUCUUUGUGUUGGAACUGUUUCUUUCCUUGCUUUACUUCUCCUUCUGCUGUUUUCUUCCUUCCCAUAAACAAAAAUUCUCAGUCCUUCAUGGGAAUGGCUGACUCUGGGUUGAUACUGUGGAUAUUUAUUUUUAACUAUCAAAACAUUCAUAAUAGGAGUAGAGGUGAAGUAGAAUGUGUGAGAAGAAUUCCAUAAAUUGAAUUCUUUGUGAAUUCAGGGGAAUUACAAAGUCUUGUACAUACAGGCCUGAUCACGGGGGAGAUAUUCAGAGAUACAUGGGGAAUUCCUCUGUCUUUUCCAGGAAAGRUUAGAUGCUUUACUGCCUUUUGGGAAAACUGAGAUGACAAAAGGAGUAGAASAAAGUUCUCUAUAUCCAACUCCUUGUGUCUUCACUUCUACAAUAUACUUCUUAGACUUGAAAGGAAAACCUUCACUAUGCUGAAGUGGGACAGAGUGGAUUGAAGGAGGCAAAAGGCAUGAGGAUCCAGAGAUUUGGAAGUCAGUAUUUGUCUCCUUUAUUUAAUCUUCAGACCUGUAGAGUGAACGGUGUCACUUUUGUAUGGAAGAUCAGGGGAAUGGAGACCUAUUGUACAUGCAUGGCAGUUAUAUAGAAAAAGCCAUAUGUUGAAAUGCUGUUUCUUUGUCCCUCUUCACCUUGCUUUUCUCCCUCUUAAAGCUGACUCAACCUCACCUUGCUCUUACAUAAUGUCUGAGGGUCCUUUGAAUUGCAGAUUGAACAGAAAAAAAAGUGGAAAGGUGAUUCACUAUUUGGUUUGUAAAUAGAUGAAAGUGUCUGCAAGGUCUUACCUGCUUUUCUGUCAGCAUUUAUAUUAAAUGAUAACUUAACAGAGAACACUUUGAAAUAUCUCUCGUUUUCUGUCUGGGAUGARUGUGCAUUCUUCUGAAUUUUGUAUGAGGUGGAAGACUGUCGGACCAUCUGCAUAAGGUUUUCUUCAGCUCAAGGUGUGUCUGUUCUCURCCGGGGUGGAGCCAAAUACCAGAGAAGCCACGUCUGCUCUCUUCUGACUCCACCUGUAAACAAAGUGGCUCCUUCAUUUGUUCACCAGAGGUGAACAAGAGAAGAUACUUGAUCAGUUUUGUUAAUUGCUUAGAGGCUGUGUAUUUAAAAUCAAACCAGACCCUUCUGAGCAAGGAGUGAGCAGCAUUCCUCUAAUCUUGAGCCUGGUUUUGGAACAUGCCUUGAAGUGYGAAUAAGGUUUGCUCCACAGUCUGCUUUGUGGUUUUUAGUCUCUUCACUCCUCUGUGUGGGCUUUAACAAGUCRUUACCUGCUGUAAAUCUGAAACUGGAUGAACUGAAGUGGAUGAACCGCUGCUUCACUGAAAAACCAUUCCUUCUACUUCAGGGCAAACGCAGCCUUCUGCCCUCAGAGUUUGUGCAUAAUGUUCAUUGUGUUGUCUUUAUUCUUGAGCUGGGCACCAUGGUGUAGCUGUGGUGUGUUUUGCUGGGCUGAUGCCCAUCACUGCUAGUUAUUAGGUCCCCUCACACUUCCACACUUUGCUUUGAGUCAUCCAGCAAGAUUCAGUUCCUAUAAAGGAAUUGUAUUUAGUGGGCAAUCCAGCAGAAAACUGAGUUUCACUUGGUGAUGGUUUUCAUGCCCUUUCUCCCAGYAGUCUGAGGAUUCAGGAUCCUCAUGUAGUGACUCACUUAGGAAGGAAACAAAAAGCUGAAUUCCUGCAGUCGUUUGCUUUUAAAAAGAGGAUCUGAAGUGCUGUGGAGCGUGAGUCAGUGCUUCCCUUUGGAAGGGAGCGGUGGGUGUUCUGCAUCGAGAGAUUGGGGGGAACUGGCUGGGUUUCUUAAUGUGGAAAAGGGGGAGACUGGGUUCAAGYAGAUGGCACGUGCUUUAAUUUUUAUUUCCUUUGGAUAUGGAUACCAGAAUAGAAAGAAUCUUGAAAAGGCUAGCUCUUGAGACUCCUUCACCAAUCAGGUAUGUUUAAGAGCUAUUUCUUUCCAGCUAGAAUGUGUUCAGUUGCUUCUGUAACCUCCUUCCUCCUAACUGAGCUGCAGCUCCAGGACUACCAGAAGUGUGGGAGAGACUAAAACCAAAGCUUGAUGCUUCAUCUGUCUUGCCCAAGGCUUGCAGGCUUUGGUGCUUGAUGGUUUUGAGCCUCUGAUCCUUGCUUUGGAUCUGGGAGCAGCAGCUUUGGGGGAAAAACAUCCCCUGUAUUAGAGCAAACAAGACAUCUAACAAAUCUAACAGUUUGUAUUAAGACACUGGCCAUCUCAGGUGCUUCCUUAGGGAUAACUACUCAGAUGCGAGUGCUGGGAUGUUGCUUGGAGAUAAACCAGCAAUAAAUUAUCAUUUACGUGCUUCACUCAAAAGUUAGAUUUACCCAGCUACUUUGGAAGAAAUGCCUUGRGAGCUUUGUGGGAUGUGCAAAACCAUAGUUGUUUACUUUUGAUUUUACUGCUUUAAAAUACCUCUGAGCASUGAGUGAAUGGAAAAUUGUGCUUGGAUGUCUGCCUGGGUGUGGAGCAUCCCUAAUUCACCCUGAAAACCCUGGGUUUUGCGAGCAUGCAAGUUAAAUUAACCGAAAAAUUAAACCAGCAGCCACCUGAAGCAGCAAGGUACAGUGCCUGAGUCCUUCCUUUCUCAUGGAGGGCAUUUUUUACAUAACCCUUCAAUUUAUCUCCACAAUCUCUGUCCCAUAUAACURUAUCCCGUACUGCAACAGUAAGGUMUUUUACUUUACCCAAACCAGUUUGGAGCUGCAUUUUCCAGUAAGACCUCGGCUCUUACUGGAGGCCAGGAAAAGCGCAGCUCCAGCAUCUGCUUAGCCAGCCUGCCCCUGGGACUGGAAGUUCAGGGGUCAGUGCUGCUGAACUUGUAGAGCAGCUGCAUCAGGAAUAGUGGUGUUCAGUCCUGUCCACUAUCACUGCCUAGUGAAGUGACAGGAGUUGGGAUAGCUUCUGUUGAUCUUCAGCUUUCCACCUGUGCAAGUGAGAGGUCACAGAMUCACAGAACAUUCUGAGCUGGAAGGAACCCACCAGGAUCACAGAAUGCAACUCCUGGCACUGCAAAGACACCCCAAGUAUCCCACCCUGUGCAUCCCUGAGAGCAUUGUCCAAAUGCUCCUGGGGCUCUGGCAGCCUUGGAGCUGUGACCAUCCCCAGGUGAGUAUGUUUAAGAUGGGAUGUAUUUGAAACUGCAGAAUGUGAAGUGGGGCAGCUUCUCCCAACUUGUGCCUUUUCAGGAAAUGGACAGGUGACAGGACUUGGGACCAACAGGGGGAAUACUUUGUUUAGCUACAAGAUACCAAAAUUAGGUUUACAAAUACCUUACAUAAUUUUUAUUCAAACUCUUGAAAGUUUUGGGGUUUUUCUCAUGGGAUAAACAUUUCUCAUGUUCACUUUCUGUUGGCAAAAACUGAGGGUAUUUGGUACUCAUGUGGGGUAGGUGGUCAAACUUUCCCUUGUCAGAUUGAACUUUAAAACCUCUUUCAAACUAAACAUUGCCUUUUUUUUUCCUACUCUUUGCUUAACCUUCAGCAGCUGGUCAACAGCCUUUGGCCUCAGCAUCCUACUCCCCUCCCACCAUCCCCUCCUGCUGUCUCAGCUCUGCUUGGGCACAGAAAUCCAGUGGGGAAACUGCUUUGGGCUCAAGCAAGACUGUCCUCUCGAAAAUUUGUGUUUGCCUCUUAAAAGCAGAAGGCUGGAGGUAGAGGGGCAGGACAAUGCAUCUGCUUGUGGUGUGUCUGCUCGGUGUCUGGGGGCUGGCUGCUCCUGAGC
Molecule: RNA transcript, 14307 nt
Organism: Malurus melanocephalus (red-backed fairy wren)
Lineage: Eukaryota; Metazoa; Chordata; Aves; Passeriformes; Maluridae
Gene: RC3H1
Gene name: ring finger and CCCH-type domains 1
Exons: 21
Source: RefSeq, a predicted model, not a curated record